GGAGACGCAGACAGGCCGCAUGUGUCUUUUCGUCGGGUGCGUCGUUGCACAGCCACCGUGCCCAGAGGUGGCUGUAGCGGCAAGCGCACUCGACUUUAUCGACACUUUUAAACUGCGCUCCGGCCUUGAGGAGCAGCGACACACAACGCAAUUGGCCAUGGGCGAGGGCUAUGCGCAGCACAUUGUCCUUGCAUGGUGCGCCUUUUGACACGCGAUUAAGCGCGUCCAGAGCCGCGGCGUCGACGGGAAACUGUGCGGCAAAGCGCCAGAGAUGCGCGUCCAACUCGCCGCUCGGCGGGCGCGUGGAAAGGAGGCAAUCGACAUGGCCAAGGGCGAGGGCACGCUCGCACGCGCGCUUCCUCUUUCUUUGGCGAUCGAACCAGCCCGCCGCGGUCAUGGUAGGCGAAUGGGUCUCGACGCACGAGGAUCGGCCCGUGGCACCGCGAUCGCUUGCCACAGCGCGCCAUCUCUUGCAUACCGGCACGACCCACCGCAGCCGCUCGAUGCAAGAUAGAGGGGCGAAAAGGAGGGCCAACACCUCGUCGGGCAGGUCGUCCAUGGUGUUUCUGUUGGCGCACAACAGCAAAAAAAAGGCGAGCCAAAAAAGCCUCGCUAUUCUGC
RNAcentral lists this long non-coding RNA (621 nucleotides) under Pandoravirus salinus. Its description in RNAcentral is "putative ncRNA". The record is from RNAcentral.